Molecule: ribosomal RNA, 400 nt
Filed under: uncultured bacterium
Lineage: Bacteria
Description: bacterial SSU rRNA
Rfam family: Bacterial small subunit ribosomal RNA
Source: RNAcentral
UGAGGGAUAUUGCACAAUGGGGGAAACCCUGAUGCAGCGACGCCGCGUGGGAGAAGAAGGCCUUCGGGUUGUAAAUCCCUUUUCUGCGUGACGAGGAAGGACGGUAGCGCAGGAAUAAGUCUCGGCUAACUACGUGCCAGCAGCCGCGGUAAAACGUAGGAGACGAACGUUAUCCGGAGUUACUGGGCGUAAAGGGCGUGCAGGUGGCUGCUUAAGUCUGGCGUGAAAAGACCCGGCUCAACCGGGUAAGGUCGUCGGAGACUGGGGAGCUAGAGGGCAGUAGAGGCGUACGGAAUUCCGGGUGUAGUGGUGAAAUGCGUAGAGAUCCGGAGGAACACCAGUGGCGAAGGCGGUACGCUGGGCUGCACCUGACACUCAGACGCGACAGCAUGGGGAGCGA